This 578-nucleotide long non-coding RNA is filed under the name Nicotiana benthamiana. RNAcentral describes it as "long non-coding RNA (NBEN_LNC008334)". The record is from RNAcentral. Lineage: Eukaryota; Viridiplantae; Streptophyta; Magnoliopsida; Solanales; Solanaceae.
AAUGUGAAAAAAUGGAGGUGCAACUCUAAGUAGCACCACUGGCACCCUUUCCUUUCUUUCUCUGGAGUUUCUUCAUGUAAAACUCAAGUUCCUUACCCUCCAAGAUGUAAAAGUAGUAGCUGUUGAACUUGUUUCCAGUGAGUUUUUAAAAUGUAGUCAAUUGUAGUUUCAAGUUCCUUACCCUCCAAGAUGUAUCUGUCAAAGUUCAAUGAAGAACAAGUGUAAAUCUUUCUGGAAAACAGAAAUAAUCCUUCUCUAACACCAUGAAAAACAGAAAUAAUCAUGAACCUUAUUGAGGAGAUGUUCAUCUUCCUAGUAAUAAUCUCAACGCUAAGAGUAGUUAAUAAAAUUUACCGGGACGUUGGGAACAACAGACUUGUAGACAAAUAUAACAUUAUCAUUCAUAUGGGAUUUGGCAUUUUUCACCUAAAUAUCAUACAGAAUCAGAAGAGAACUCGUACCCAUCGGCACGACCACACUGGCCAGGUCGUGAUGAGAUUGCAGCCAAUAGUCGCCCACUAGCAAAUUGCUCCUCAAUAUGUGGGUCAAUCUUGCGAUCCUGUUGCCGCUUUUGCAGC